This 201-nucleotide unclassified non-coding RNA is filed under the name Basidiodendron eyrei. RNAcentral's name for it is "partial internal transcribed spacer region". The stretch from base 1 to 46 matches the Rfam family "Eukaryotic small subunit ribosomal RNA", at positions 1786 to 1831 of the family's 1831-position model. Lineage: Eukaryota; Fungi; Basidiomycota; Agaricomycetes; Auriculariales; Exidiaceae. The record is from RNAcentral.
AAGUCGUAACAAGGUUUCCGUAGGUGAACCUGCGGAAGGAUCAUUAAUGAAUACCUCGCUGUGCGCUUUGCGGCUGCACGCUUGGAAUCCACACCUGUGCACUUUCGAUUGGCUUCGGCCUUUCGCUCACACAUACUAUGUCGUCUCGAAUGUAAACACUUUAUAAAAAUACAACUAUCAGCAACGGAUCUCUUGGCUCUC